UCAGAGCAAGUCACCCACCAAGUCGAAGCAGCAGAGCGGACGGACCCAACCACUCCUCCCAAA
Molecule: unclassified non-coding RNA, 63 nt
Filed under: Rhodotorula toruloides
Lineage: Eukaryota; Fungi; Basidiomycota; Microbotryomycetes; Sporidiobolales; Sporidiobolaceae
Source: RNAcentral